GCGGGUAUAGUUUAGUGGCAGAAUGAUUGCCUUCCAAGCAAUAGACGGGAGUUCGAUUCUCCCUACCCGCA
This 71-nucleotide transfer RNA is filed under the name Candidatus Campbellbacteria bacterium CG11_big_fil_rev_8_21_14_0_20_44_21. Its description in RNAcentral is "tRNA-Gly". It matches the Rfam family "tRNA". From Rfam's summary of the family: Transfer RNA (tRNA) molecules are approximately 80 nucleotides in length. Their secondary structure includes four short double-helical elements and three loops (D, anti-codon, and T loops). Lineage: Bacteria; Candidatus Campbelliibacteriota. RNAcentral also lists the same sequence under 1 other name. The record is from RNAcentral.